AGAAUAAUGAUGAAUAUGACGAUAAAGGUGAUGAAGAGCAUAGCGGGGUAAUAAAUGGGACAGGUCAGAAUCAACCUCUUCACAAACUGUAAUACAUUGAGCCCAAAAUAUAUCAGCUGUUUUCCACAGAAAUAUGCUGAAAUACCAUCUCAUUAUAUAAAGAUGGCAAAACUAUGGUAAUUAGUGUUAAUUGUUAUAAACACUAAUUACCGUUAUAUGUUUCAAAAUGUAGGAAUGUUUCAACAUUAUCAUCUACUGCAGGGGUGUUAUAUUCAAAUUCUUAUGGAGACCACUUAAGUGAUAAUUCAAAAUUAAAUGGAUUGCUUAAGGGACAAAACAAAGUUGACAGGCCUUCACCUUAAACAUUCAAAUGAGUUGCACUUAUUAAUAUUGACAUUUUAUAGCAAUGACUUCAUUUUACAAGAAAAUCAAAAUUUGAGAAAAUUUAUUUUCUGUGUAAAAUAAAUAGAUAAAAUUAAGUUUAUUUAAUUUAUUAUUCAAAUUAACAUGAUUUUACUUUAUUAUUCUGUUUAUGAAUUAUAAUAGUAAUUAAAUUAUGUAAAAUACAUGACUGUAAAAAUUGAUUAAUGCAGUGGAAAGAACUGCAGUGAGAGUGCUGGUUCCAUGCAGUCUGUAGACUGUAUGUUUGACAUAACUGAUUUAGUAUCAAGUUCCAAUACCUCCUCAAUUUUUAGAGAGAUUUGGUCUUAUCUUUUGAUUGCAAGUCUUCAGCAUUUGCUUUUAAUGCCACUUUCUAAUUAUUUACCAAGUAAUAAGCCCAUUUCAAACCUUCCACACCUGUGGAUAGGAUUAUUCAGUAUGAGAAUCAAUAGUUUGAUUUAGAUUUUAUCAGAGGUUUCUGAAUAGAAAAUUGAAGUGUUUCUAUGUGGCCAAUGCAGACAAUGUUUAUUAUCUGUAGGUUGAUUCACAAUUGUAAUGUAGAUGAUACUUGGUAAGCCUGGAAUGGCCCUACUAUUUAUAUCUUCUGGUUGGAAAGUAAUGUAAAAUCUAUAAAGCCCUGUGAAAAUGCUUUCAAUAAAAGUUGUUAGUAACCAAUGAAGAUCAGGAAUAUAUCUAUUCUUUAUGGGAAAACAAUAAAUAUAAUUUAUUAUAUUAGCAUUUUCAAAAUGUAGGAAUGUUUCAACAUUAAUAAAAUAAACAAUCUAAAAGUAUAUAAAUUUAAGAAAAAAUGCUUUUCUAACAUUCUUAGAAAAACAAUACUGCUAUUUUCUGGAUGGCCAUUUGGUAACAUGUUGGCUUGCUACCUGGAGAAUCCAGAUUCAAUUUUAAUACUACACUUCCAGAUUUUUUAAAGAGGAAUUGAGCCUGGCUCAUUGAAUCCUACUCUUCAUUUGAUGGUCACACUUACUGUGUGUAUGGGCAGCCUCUGAUAGAAUAUAUACAUAGUCAAUCUUACCAUACAAAAAUCAAACUAUACAAACCUUAUCAAGUAAUCUAUUAUUUAAAAAUUGAACUUUACUUUUAGUCAGAAAUUAAAGUUCAGUUAUUAAACAACAGAUGGCAUCACCUUAUCUUAUAUAUUUUAUAUAAUAUAAAAUAAUUUUGUGAAGAGGUUAACUCUGACCUAUCCUAUUUAUUAUU
This 1602-nucleotide long non-coding RNA is filed under the name Androctonus crassicauda. Lineage: Eukaryota; Metazoa; Arthropoda; Arachnida; Scorpiones; Buthidae. The record is from RNAcentral.